ACUGUCAAUGAUGUGCUGGUUGCAGUGACUUCUGCUGCCCUAUCAAGAUAUUACUUCCGCAAGUCCGCUUCAAUGUCAGGUGACACUAACACUAGCAAAAUCUGUUUGCGAUCACUCCUUCCUGUCAACACAAGGCCAGCCACUAGCCUACAGACAUAUGUUAUUGUGAUAGAAUCUGAUAAGAGGAACGAGGUGACAUGGGGAAAUAAACUGGGCCACAUUAUUCUUCCAUUUUAUCUGGCCAUGCACGAUGAUCCACUUGCAUAUAUUCGCAAGGCAAAGAAGGUUCUUGAUAGGAAAAAGAGGUCACUCGAAGUGAUAUUCACAUAUAAGAUUGGUCUAAUUUUCACGAAAGUUUUUGGUGUCAAGGUAGGAACUUCAAUCUUUCGGUGUCUAUUCACACGUACAACAAUAGUUUUCUCAAACAUGGUUGGACCAGCUGAACAAGUAGAGUUAUGUGGACACCCGGUGGCUUUCCUUGCGCCUAGCGUCUAUGGGAUUCCAGAGGCUCUGAUUAUUCACUACCAAAGCUACAGAAGCACUAUCAAGAUAAUCCUAUCAAUAGACGAGGACAAGUUUCCAGAUUAUCAUCAACUUUUGGAUGACUUUGACCAGACCCUCACGGUCAUGAAGGACGCGGCUUCAAGACUUUCAACGUCAACUAAGAAUGACUAA
Molecule: ribosomal RNA, 675 nt
Filed under: Triticum aestivum (bread wheat)
Lineage: Eukaryota; Viridiplantae; Streptophyta; Magnoliopsida; Poales; Poaceae
Description: partial small subunit ribosomal RNA
Source: RNAcentral